RNAcentral lists this microRNA precursor (75 nucleotides) under Rehmannia glutinosa. Its description in RNAcentral is "miR5574 stem-loop (rgl-MIR5574)". The record is from miRBase by way of RNAcentral. Lineage: Eukaryota; Viridiplantae; Streptophyta; Magnoliopsida; Lamiales; Orobanchaceae.
UUUUGCUUAGUUUAAUCAGAAUCUAAAAGCAGGGUGAUGAGUGUUUUAGAUUUCUGAUUCGGCUUCUGGUUAAAC